CAUACCGAAAGGUAUGCUAAUACGGGAUAAUAUAUUUGAGAGGCAUCUCUUGAAUAUCAAAGGUGAGCCAGUACAGGAUGGACCCGCGUCUGAUUAGCUAGUUGGUAAGGUAACGGCUUACCAAGGCGACGAUCAGUAGCCGACCUGAGAGGGUGAUCGGCCACAUUGGAACUGAGACACGGUCCAAACUCCUACGGGAGGCAGCAGUGGGGAAUAUUGCACAAUGGGCGAAAGCCUGAUGCAGCAACGCCGCGUGAGGGAUGAAGGCCUUCGGGUCGUAAAACUCUGUCCUCAAGGAAGAUAAUGACGGUACUUGAGGAGGAAGCCCCGGCUAACUACGUGCCAGCAGCCGCGGUAAUACGUAGGGGGCUAGCGUUAUCCGGAUUUACUGGGCGUAAAGGGUGCGUAGGCGGUCUUUCAAGUCAGGAGUGAAAGGCUACGG
RNAcentral lists this ribosomal RNA (442 nucleotides) under Clostridioides difficile. Its description in RNAcentral is "bacterial SSU rRNA". It matches the Rfam family "Bacterial small subunit ribosomal RNA", at positions 147 to 607 of the family's 1533-position model. The record is from RNAcentral. Lineage: Bacteria; Bacillati; Bacillota; Clostridia; Peptostreptococcales; Peptostreptococcaceae.